UUGAGUAGGCUCCAGGAGUUGGUGAUGGACACGGAAGCCUGGCAUGCUGCAGUCCAUGGGGUCACAAAGAGUCGGACACAACUGAGUGACUGAACUGAACUGAAGAGAACGGCAGACAUCCGUGCCCUGCAUCCCUAUGCGUGCCAUUAACAGUUCAAUAUUUGUUACGGUCUUUUGUAUAGUAUCAGUCGUACUACCGUGAAUGUUAAUAUUGUCUGGAGUUCUAGGAGGAGGCAGCACAUUUUAUUUUUACCUGCAGCCCCCUCUGUCCACAGGAAUCAGAUUUAAGUCCAUGGGGCACUGAACCAGAGACAAAGGAAUCACAAGUUCAGACUAAGUGUAUCCAGCAAGAAACUAAAAUUGGAAAGUAGGUUUUUGCAACCCUCCCAACAUCCUGCAUGAUGUGAAAAUAAUAGAUCAAUUAGUUAAUUUUUUUUUUUUUUAAAGACAUCCAGCCAGCCUGCUGUUGGAAUUCAUACAGACCUGACAAUGAACCAUUGUCUGAACACUGAACUUCUUAGCUGGUUCCUUUAUUGAGGGGUUGGCAUAAUAGGCGUCUGAGUGAAGAAACUGCUCAGAAAUCUCACCUAGCCACAGCCAAACCAUAAAGCUGUGGAACCAAUCCUUCAGCUGCUUGAACAUUGUUCUGUUGGGAGUGGGCUGUGGUGUCAGGGAGCGGAGGCUGUGAGACCUGCGCUGAGCAUCUUUCCGCGCACUCAACAACCCCCUUGCCAGUCCUGGCAGGCCGCCAACAGGUGAUGUAGCCAUCAACAGGACUGGGAAAUCCUUGAGAUGCUGAUGGGAGCUCCAGAACCAUUUCCUCAGAAAAAUCACAGAAACGAAGUAACUUGAAAAACUUUUGAGCUUACGGUUUCCUCUGAGGAAAUGGUAACACAGCUCAUAUUAUUGCCUCUGCCUUGUGUAAACUAUCGGCAUCUGUAUGUGUGCUCAGUUGCUCAGCGAUAUCCAGCUCUUUGUGAUCCCAUGGACUGUAGUUCUCCAGGCUCCUCUGUCCAUGGAAUUCUCCAGCUUCACUUCCUUCCUGACACGCGUCCUCCCAGUUCUGCAGCCCAGAGCCUAAGAGAUGGACAUCUGUCAGUGGACCGGGGCUGGAAGAUGGUGGCUGUGCUCCCUGGAGUCCAGGGCUUUACCUGAGGACAACAUGGUGUGUUCACAGGAUUCCAGAUCUGCAGCAGGGGAUCCCAUGCAGUUCUCAUGAAGGUGGCUGUGCUCCCUGGCCACCUUCAUGUUCUCAUGAUGUUUUCAUGAUGGUGGCCAUGCUCCCUGGGGUCCAGGGCUUUACCUGAUGACAACAUGGUGAGUUCAAAGGAUUCCAGAUCUGCAGCAGGGGAGCCAACGCAGUUCUCAUGAAGGGGAGCCUGGUAAAGGGGCUCAAGAAGGGGAGCUCAUCAUUUGUCUAAAAAAGGAGCAUGUUCUCCGGCAAGGGUCUGGGCUGGAACGCUGCUUUCUCUCUGUGUCGACAACCUGCUGAACCACCCCCUGGCCUCCAGGAGGGGAGCACAAAGGGCCUUGUCUGGUGAUAGCCACCCUGGCUCCAUUUGGAAUAAAACCCACAAGGAGAAACGUACAGAGGAAACUAUUCCGGAGCGGGAACGGGGUGUGUUUCAGACAUGAAGUCUGCAGAGAAAAAUCUGUAGACUUUUUUUUUUUAAAGAAAAACAAGUCCCUGGAAAUGAACUUUUGGAGAGAGAUCGUUUGUGCAGGAAAUCUUCCCAGAAGGUGAAAAAAGAAACCAAGCUAAGAAGCAAUCCAAAUGAGAACAUCCCCUCCCUGCUCCACAAGGAACGGAAGUGGGAGACGGAAGUUGAGGCUUGAAAAGCUCACCAAAGCUCAGCUGGGGCCCUGGGUGGGCUGAGCAGAAAUCCAGUGAGAAUUGUCCUCAAUGCUGGUUUUCUGUCUGUGUAGCCACUGCUCUGGACCCUUACCUCUCCUUGUGGCUGGGGAAAUCCUGCAGUGAGUGACCACAUGCCCCUGGGCUGUUUGUGCGCCCAUUCAUUGUCUCUUCUUUCCUCUUCCUUUUUCUCCCUGUCUGGACACUCACCCCUUCCCUGCUGCUCUCCUGCCCCCAUUUUGGUGUUUGUGUUUUUUUUUAAAUUGAAAUAGAGUUUAUUUAUAGUGUUGUGUUAGUUUCAGGUAUAUAGUAUUUUUUUUUUUUUUUUUUUACCUUGUAAGUAAAGGGAGAAGAGAAUAGAUAGCACAGAAUAGAAAAGAAGAGAGAAUAGAAUUUAAGAGGCAGGACAGGAGAGUGAGCUCAAGGGACAUUCCAGGCCCCUGGAUUCUGAAGUCACAUGUACAACGUUACCACCAUCUCCGCUGUCCCCACCCCAAGGGGCAGCAAGGCUGAGGCCAAGGGCCUGGACCCGCUGGGCUCCGAUCUGGGUGUUUUGCUCACAAGAUGCAGGACUUAGGGAACUGCAGAAAUCUGAUGUGCAAUGAGCAGCCGGAAGGAAUCCUUCUGCAAACUGAAGUGUAGAACUCUUGGCUCUGAGUAGUUUGGUCAAUUCGGCAUCAGUGCCAAGUCAAAUGGUUUGCUACCUCUCACAGAGAAAAUGAUCUGUUUGUUUAUUGAUUUAAUAAGGGCUGCAGCACCUACCUAUGCUCUUGUGUGCCCCCUGCAAAGCACAAAGCAUUGUGCACCCUUGAUGUUCUGAAAGUUUCAGAGACGAGAUAAGAUUGUCAAGCAAGUGGCAGCCGUUUUCUCCACCAGGGGAGGUGUCCCCUCCACCAGGAGCAGAUGUCAACCAUCCGAGUAGUCCUGGGAAGCCAAGAAAGACCCAACCUGCACAGGUGCUGGAGGAUGCCAAGCUCUCCCCCAGGGAGAAGACAGAACCCCAGCCUCAGGAGUGGGCCCCAGGCCCCAUGAUCAGCUGCCAAGGAGGCCCUGUGAGAUUUCCAGAAUCCUUCCUGGAUUAGCCUGGGGGAAGGCGAAUCCGAGCAGGGUCUGGAUGCUGGUGGGUAUAACCUGAGGUGGGAGGAGGCUUGCAAGAAGGUUCCAAGACCACUGGGCCCACAAGCUGAGCCCAGGGCAGGUGGAUGAAACUGGGGGAGCUGCUGGAGGGGGCAAGGGAAUUGGACAGGGCAGGCCUGGGUUCCCACUCAGAGCCGGAGGCAAGGUGUGGGGAAGAAGAGGGAAGUCUGGACAUUGUUCUGAGUGGACAGUGUUCUGAGUGGACAUUGUGCUGUGUGAAAUUGUGUCCCCCAGCCCCCAAAGAUGCACUUAAAUCCUAACCCCUGUACUCGUGAAAGGACCUGAUUUGGAAAUAGAAUCUUGGCAGUGAAAUGGAGUUAAGAUGAGGUCAUGAAGUCCACGUGACUGCGGUCCUUGUAAGAAUAGGAGAAGGACCACAGAGACAGAUGGAUCCAGAGGGAGAAGAAUCCUGUGAAGACAAGGGGGAGAAUGCCGUGACGAUGCAGGCCAGUGCCUCGUGUCUACCAGCGGGGACUCCGAGAUUGCUGGGGACACUGACGCCAGGAGGAAAGCGGGGCACAGACCCUCCAGAAGAGCUUCGAGAGACUGUGGCCCUGCCAAUGCCUUGAUUUGGGGUUUCCAGAACUGAGAGCAAAUAAGUGCCUGCACAGGUGGCCUUGGAGACAAAAACAGGGAGGGUGGUUGGGUGUGUUAGGUAGUUAGAAUAGGGAAAAUGAGUCCAGAAUGGUGGUGGCUAAAAGACCUGGAAGGGAAGAGCCCGUGAAAAUAGAACAAAGGAAGGUCCGAGGACCGAGGACCU
Molecule: long non-coding RNA, 3749 nt
Organism: Cervus elaphus (red deer)
Lineage: Eukaryota; Metazoa; Chordata; Mammalia; Artiodactyla; Cervidae
Exons: 4
Source: RefSeq, a predicted model, not a curated record